UAGGGAAUCUUCGGCAAUGGGGGGAACCCUGACCGAGCAACGCCGCGUGAGUGGAGAAGGUUUUCGGAUCGUAAAGCUCUGUUGUUAAGGAAGAACGAGUGUGAGAAUGGAAAGUUCAUACUGUGACGGUACUUAACCAGAAAGGGACGGCUAACUACGUGCCAGCAGCCGCGGUAAUACGUAGGUCCCGAGCGUUGUCCGGAUUUAUUGGGCGUAAAGCGAGCGCAGGCGGUUAGAUAAGUCUGAAGUUAAAGGCAGUGGCUCAACCAUUGUAGGCUUUGGAAACUGUUUAACUUGAGUGCAGAAGGGGAGAGUGGAAUUCCAUGUGUAGCGGUGAAAUGCGUAGAUAUAUGGAGGAACACCGGUGGCGAAAGCGGCUCUCUGGUCUGUAACUGACGCUGAGGCUCGAAAGCGUGGGGAGCGAACAGG
Molecule: ribosomal RNA, 429 nt
Filed under: Bacteroidota bacterium
Lineage: Bacteria; Pseudomonadati; Bacteroidota
Description: Bacteroidetes bacterium partial 16S ribosomal RNA
Rfam family: Bacterial small subunit ribosomal RNA
Source: RNAcentral